This 703-nucleotide ribosomal RNA is filed under the name Bacillus subtilis. RNAcentral's name for it is "bacterial SSU rRNA". It matches the Rfam family "Bacterial small subunit ribosomal RNA", at positions 64 to 749 of the family's 1533-position model. Lineage: Bacteria; Bacillati; Bacillota; Bacilli; Caryophanales; Bacillaceae. The record is from RNAcentral.
GAGCGGACAGAUGGGAGCUUGCUCCCUGAUGUUAGCGGCGGACGGGUGAGUAACACGUGGGUAACCUGCCUGUAAGACUGGGAUAACUCCGGGAAACCGGGGCUAAUACCGGAUGCUUGUUUGAACCGCAUGGUUCAAACAUAAAAGGUGGCUUCGGCUACCACUUACAGAUGGACCCGCGGCGCAUUAGCUAGUUGGUGAGGUAAUGGCUCACCAAGGCAACGAUGCGUAGCCGACCUGAGAGGGUGAUCGGCCACACUGGGACUGAGACACGGCCCAGACUCCUACGGGAGGCAGCAGUAGGGAAUCUUCCGCAAUGGACGAAAGUCUGACGGAGCAACGCCGCGUGAGUGAUGAAGGUUUUCGGAUCGUAAAGCUCUGUUGUUAGGGAAGAACAAGUACCGUUCGAAUAGGGCGGUACCUUGACGGUACCUAACCAGAAAGCCACGGCUAACUACGUGCCAGCAGCCGCGGUAAUACGUAGGUGGCAAGCGUUGUCCGGAAUUAUUGGGCGUAAAGGGCUCGCAGGCGGUUUCUUAAGUCUGAUGUGAAAGCCCCCGGCUCAACCGGGGAGGGUCAUUGGAAACUGGGGAACUUGAGUGCAGAAGAGGAGAGUGGAAUUCCACGUGUAGCGGUGAAAUGCGUAGAGAUGUGGAGGAACACCAGUGGCGAAGGCGACUCUCUGGUCUGUAACUGACGCUGA